Molecule: ribosomal RNA, 447 nt
Filed under: Streptomyces sp. 6BC12
Lineage: Bacteria; Bacillati; Actinomycetota; Actinomycetes; Kitasatosporales; Streptomycetaceae
Description: bacterial SSU rRNA
Rfam family: Bacterial small subunit ribosomal RNA
Source: RNAcentral
UUUAGAGUUUGGAUCUGGCUCAGGACGAACGCUGGCGGCGUGCUUAACACAUGCAAGUCGAACGAUGAAGCCCUUCGGGGUGGAUUAGUGGCGAACGGGUGAGUAACACGUGGGCAAUCUGCCCUUCACUCUGGGACAAGCCCUGGAAACGGGGUCUAAUACCGGAUAACACUCUGUCCCGCAUGGGACGGGGUUAAAAGCUCCGGCGGUGAAGGAUGAGCCCGCGGCCUAUCAGCUUGUUGGUGGGGUGAUGGCCUACCAAGGCGACGACGGGUAGCCGGCCUGAGAGGGCGACCGGCCACACUGGGACUGAGACACGGCCCAGACUCCUACGGGAGGCAGCAGUGGGGAAUAUUGCACAAUGGGCGAAAGCCUGAUGCAGCGACGCCGCGUGAGGGAUGACGGCCUUCGGGUUGUAAACCUCUUUCAGCAGGGAAGAAGCGAAAG